This 774-nucleotide ribosomal RNA is filed under the name uncultured Neocallimastigales. RNAcentral describes it as "partial large subunit ribosomal RNA". It matches the Rfam family "Eukaryotic large subunit ribosomal RNA", at positions 22 to 629 of the family's 3401-position model. Lineage: Eukaryota; Fungi; Neocallimastigomycota; Neocallimastigomycetes; Neocallimastigales. The record is from RNAcentral.
GUACACGCUGUGACUAGCAUAUCAAUAAGCGGAGGAAAAGAAACUAACAAGGAUUCCCCUAGUAACGGCGAGUGAAGCGGGAAGAGCUCAAAUUUGAAAUCUUAAAGGGUUUCCCUUUACGAAUUGUAGUUUAAAGAAGUGUUUUCUGUUGAGGUUUUGGUAAAAGUUCUUCGGAAUAGGACAUCAUAGAGGGUGAGAAUCCCGUAUUUGACCUUUACUUUCAACUUUGUGAUACACUUUCAAAGAGUCGGAUUGUUUGGGAAUGCAGUCCAAAAUGGGUGGUAAAUUUCAUCUAAAGCUAAAUAUUGGCGAGAGACCGAUAGCGAACAAGUACCGUGAGGGAAAGAUGAAAAGAACUUUGAAAAGAGAGUUAAACAGUACGUGAAAUUGUCAAAAGGGAAGCGUUUGACACCAGUGUUGUUUUUCUGAAAAUCAAUUAAAGAACUGUUUAUGCUAAGUUGUUUAGACUUUAUCAGCUAUCUGUUUAGUUUUGAGCUUUUCUUUAAUGCACUUUUCAGUUAACAAGUCAACAUCAAUUUCUUUUGCUGUAAAAAAGCUUGAGGAAGGUGGCUUGAGAUUCGUCUUAAGUGUUUAUAGCCUCUUGCCUAUGCAGUCGGAGAGAUUGAGGUCUGCAGCGUAGAUCCUUCGGGGCUAAAUGCAUUUGUGCUAAGUUAUAGCAUUUUAUAGACAACUUGUUGACUAUGAUUUGUCUUGUAGCUUACUCGCUUAUGUUAUUUUACCUACGCUUAGGAUGUUGACAGCAGUAUAGACUGU